UAAUACGUAGGGGGCAAGCGUUGUUCGGAAUUACUGGGCGUAAAGGGCGCGUAGGCGGCACGGCAAGUCGGGAGUGAAAGGCCUGGGCUCAACCGAGGAACUGCUUUCGAGACUGCCGAGCUAGAGUGCGGAAGGGGCAACUGGAAUUCCCAGUGUAGCGGUGAAAUGCGUAGAUAUUGGGAAGAACACCUGAGGCGAAGGCGGGUUGCUGGGCCGACACUGACGCUGAGGCGCGAGAGCCAGGGGAGCAAACGGG
This 256-nucleotide ribosomal RNA is filed under the name uncultured bacterium. RNAcentral's name for it is "partial 16S ribosomal RNA". It matches the Rfam family "Bacterial small subunit ribosomal RNA", at positions 521 to 776 of the family's 1533-position model. The record is from RNAcentral.